CAGGACUCCAGGCUCUGCUGGAGGGAUCCUGGAACAGGGCUGGUAGGGGAGAAAGGAUUGUAGAUUCUGACCUGCGCUCUGGAGAGGAGGUAAUAAGUGAAGGGGGCAUU
Molecule: non-coding RNA, 110 nt
Organism: Chelonoidis abingdonii (Abingdon island giant tortoise)
Lineage: Eukaryota; Metazoa; Chordata; Testudines; Testudinidae
Source: RefSeq, a predicted model, not a curated record